Non-coding RNA from Schistosoma rodhaini, 45 nucleotides. NCBI's taxonomy places the organism in Eukaryota, Metazoa, Platyhelminthes, Trematoda, Strigeidida, Schistosomatidae. The record is from Rfam.
AUGCAGCUGACGAGUCUCAAAUAGGACUAGACGUGCAUCCUGGAU